RNAcentral lists this non-coding RNA (181 nucleotides) under Tepidanaerobacter acetatoxydans. Lineage: Bacteria; Bacillati; Bacillota; Clostridia; Thermosediminibacterales; Tepidanaerobacteraceae. RNAcentral also lists the same sequence under 1 other name. The record is from RNAcentral.
AUUUAAUAUUUAAGCACAGGUGCCGAUACAAUAUUUCGGUUAAAAGGGAAGCAGGUAAAAAUCCUGCACGGUCCCGCCACUGUGUUGGUGAGGUGCUGUAAAUUUGCCACUGAAUUUUUCGGGAAGGCCUACAGUAUCCAUGAACCUAAGUCAGAAGACCUGCCUGUGCCAAACAUCUUAC